This 855-nucleotide long non-coding RNA is filed under the name Olea europaea (common olive). RNAcentral's name for it is "long non-coding RNA (OEUR_LNC002990)". The record is from RNAcentral. Lineage: Eukaryota; Viridiplantae; Streptophyta; Magnoliopsida; Lamiales; Oleaceae.
AAGCAAGAAGCUCAGUUUCAUACGAUUCUUGAAAAUCAACAAACUCUCUGUCAGACACUUCUUGACAAUCAAAAAUAAUUUUUUGAAGUGCAGCAAAAAAAUCAACAGGAACAUUUUCAGGGCAUACAAUCUGACAUGCAUUCUUAUGUGGAUACCAGUUUCGAUUUAAUGAAGUCUUACAUUGAUGAACAAAAUCGAAAUAUGCAGAAUCAGUUAACUAACUGGAAAUCACAUAUGGAAUCAAUUGUAGCCUCUGUACAACAUGAUUUGCCCCUCCAACAAAUCAAGCUGAAUUUGAAAUGCCUUCAACAUCUGAACAUGCAGAAGACGUCGAAAGAUCAACAAAAGAAAAAAAAGGUAAGCAAAAAGAGACACAAUCUCCAUCACCAACGGCAGCGAAUACUUUACAGAAGACGUCGAAAGAUCAACAAAAGAAAAAAAAGGUAAGCAAAAAGAGACACAAUCUCCAUCACCAACGGCAGCGAAUACUUUAGAAGAUUAUAACAUCGACAAAUACAAAAACAUUAGAGAAUGGAUAUAAGAAAAUCCAUCAGAAUAAGAUAUUAAAUUUAACUUCGUUAACUUAAAUAUUCUAUUUCGUAUUUUACUUAUUUAAUAACAAUUUCAUUUUUUCUUAUAUAGUGCAUACUGGAAAGAUGAAAUCGGCAAUCAAUACGCAAGACAUUCGCUGAUAAAUAUAAUAAAUCAAAUUAAAGAUAUAAAUAUUGUGGUAAGUCAACUUUAGCAAUCUUAAUUAAUUUUACUUCGUUAUUAAUAUAGCUAAUUUAAAUUUUUUUUACUAGCAUAUUGAUAUAGAAUUAAAGCUGUUGCGAAGACUCAUUCAUGAUACAUCUU